GAUGAACGCUGGCGGCGUGCCUAAUACAUGCAAGUCGAGCGAACAGACGAGGAGCUUGCUCCUCUGACGUUAGCGGCGGACGGGUGAGUAACACGUGGAUAACCUACCUAUAAGACUGGGAUAACUUCGGGAAACCGGCGCUAAUACCGGAUAAUAUAUUGAACCGCAUGGUUCAAUAGUGAAAGACGGUUUUGCUGUCACUUAUAGAUGGAUCCGCGCCGCAUUAGCUAGUUGGUAAGGUAACGGCUUACCAAGGCAACGAUGCGUAGCCGACCUGAGAGAGUGAUCGGCCGCACUGGAACUGAGACACGGUCCAGACUCCUACGGGAGGCAGCAGUAGGGAAUCUGCCGCAAUGGGCGAAAGCCUGACGGAGCAACGCCGCGUGAGUGAUGAAGGUCUUCGGAUCGUAAAACUCUGUUAUUAGGGAAGAACAAAUGUGUAAGUAACUAUGCACGUCUUGACGGUACCUAGUCAGAAAGCCACGGCUAACUACGUG
RNAcentral lists this ribosomal RNA (497 nucleotides) under uncultured bacterium. RNAcentral describes it as "partial 16S ribosomal RNA". It matches the Rfam family "Bacterial small subunit ribosomal RNA", at positions 28 to 507 of the family's 1533-position model. The record is from RNAcentral.